Molecule: ribosomal RNA, 497 nt
Filed under: uncultured bacterium
Lineage: Bacteria
Description: partial 16S ribosomal RNA
Rfam family: Bacterial small subunit ribosomal RNA
Source: RNAcentral
GAUGAACGCUGGCGGCGUGCCUAAUACAUGCAAGUCGAGCGAACAGACGAGGAGCUUGCUCCUCUGACGUUAGCGGCGGACGGGUGAGUAACACGUGGAUAACCUACCUAUAAGACUGGGAUAACUUCGGGAAACCGGAGCUAAUACCGGAUAAUAUAUUGAACCGCAUGGUUCAAUAGUGAAAGACGGUUUUGCUGUCACUUAUAGAUGGAUCCGCACCGCAUUAGCUAGUUGGUAAGGUAACGGCUUACCAAGGCGACGAUGCGUAGCCGACCUGAGAGGGUGAUCGGCCACACUGGAACUGAGCAACGGUCCAGACUCCUACGGGAGGCAGCAGUAGGGAAUCUUCCGCAAUGGGCGAAAGCCUGACGGAGCAACGCCGCGUGAGUGAUGAAGGUCUUCGGAUCGUAAAACUCUGUUAUUAGGGAAGAACAAAUGUGUAAGUAACUAUGCACGUCUUGACGGUACCUAAUCAGAAAGCCACGGCUAACUACGUG